CCUUCGGGGAGCCUAUACAGGUGUUGCAUGGCUGUCGUCAGCUCGUGUCGUGAGAUGUUCGGUUAAGUCCGCUAACGAGCGCAACCCUCGUCGUAUGUUAUAUGUGUCAUACGAGACUGCCGGUAAAAAGCCGGAGGAAGGUGAGGAUGAUGUCAAGUCAGCAUGACCUUUAUAUCCAGGGCUACACACACGCUACAAUGGUCUGUACAAUGGGUAGCCAAGCCGCGAGGCGGAGCCAAUCCUGAAAGCAGGCCUCAGUUCAGAUUGCAGUCUGCAACUCGACUGCAUGAAGCCGGAGUUGCUAGUAACCGCAGGUCAGCAAUACUGCGGUGAAUACGUUCCCGGGUCUU
RNAcentral lists this ribosomal RNA (350 nucleotides) under uncultured Anaerolineaceae bacterium. Its description in RNAcentral is "bacterial SSU rRNA". It matches the Rfam family "Bacterial small subunit ribosomal RNA", at positions 1017 to 1382 of the family's 1533-position model. The record is from RNAcentral. Lineage: Bacteria; Bacillati; Chloroflexota; Anaerolineae; Anaerolineales; Anaerolineaceae.